GGGUCCGUAAACAAUGAGAAGAUGAUUUUCAAGUGAAGAAAGCUAACCUUUUAUAGGUGUAGAAUAAACCGGGUUGCAGAAGGAUAACUCACAAUCAAUGUCAGAUCGUGCUUCACGUUGGUAUGAAGUUAAGAAGGCGAUAAUGGCGCUAAAUCUGUAACGCGAACGGUUUCGGUUGAGUAGAAUAGAAGGCCAAACGACGCAAGUGGAGACAAAGAAAGAGAUUCUUCAUAUCUAUGAUAGUCAUCCAAAUCUCUCGAAACACCAUGGACGGUGUGUGAGAAAGCAAAAGAAAUUUUUUAGGUAUCGGACAUAGAGGAAGAAGACGAACCCUAUUUGCGGCGUGAAGGUGGUGAAGAGUAAAGGGCCUCUUGGUUUGAGGUUCUAAUUUUUGUUAUUAUGGAAAGCCCACAAUUUUCCCUUCUUUUCGUUAAAUGAAACGCGAAGUAUUGAGGCAGAGGACACGUGGCGGCGCGAGAGAAGUCGACUUUCUUAGGUGGAUGCUGACGUGGACCCCCUAAGAA
Molecule: long non-coding RNA, 524 nt
Filed under: Brassica napus (rape)
Lineage: Eukaryota; Viridiplantae; Streptophyta; Magnoliopsida; Brassicales; Brassicaceae
Description: long non-coding RNA (BNAP_LNC026904)
Source: RNAcentral